GGGGUCAGUAGGUUGGUCGUGCCACCGGUACUUACUGGUCUCACUGAUUCCUCCUUCCUGAAGAACCGUAAUGCCAUUAAUUUGGUGUUGCGGGGAAACAGGACUGUUACUUUGAAAAAAUGAGAGUGUUUAAAGCAAGCUAACGCUUGAAUACAUUAGCAUGGAAUAAUGAAAUAGGACGAUCGAUCCUAUUUUGUUGGUUUCUAGGAUUGACGUA
RNAcentral lists this ribosomal RNA (217 nucleotides) under Glomeromycotina sp. Its description in RNAcentral is "partial small subunit ribosomal RNA". The stretch from base 41 to 217 matches the Rfam family "Eukaryotic small subunit ribosomal RNA", at positions 686 to 864 of the family's 1831-position model. Lineage: Eukaryota; Fungi; Glomeromycota. The record is from RNAcentral.